AUUGAACGCUGGCGGCAUGCCUAACACAUGCAAGUCGAACGGUAACAGGGGCUUCGGCCCGCUGACGAGUGGCGGACGGGUGAGUAAUACGUAGGAAUCUACCUUUUAGUGGGGGAUAACUUAGGGAAACUUAAGCUAAUACCGCACAAUCACUACGGUGGAAAGCAGGGGAUCGUAAGACCUUGCGCUGAUAGAUGAGCCUACGUCGGAUUAGCUUGUUGGUAGGGUAAAGGCCUACCAAGGCGACGAUCCGUAGCUGGUCUGAGAGGACGACCAGCCACACUGGGACUGAGACACGGCCCAGACUCCUACGGGAGGCAGCAGUGGGGAAUAUUGGACAAUGGGGGCAACCCUGAUCCAGCAAUGCCGCGUGUGUGAAGAAGGCCUGGUUGUAA
This 395-nucleotide ribosomal RNA is filed under the name uncultured bacterium. Its description in RNAcentral is "bacterial SSU rRNA". It matches the Rfam family "Bacterial small subunit ribosomal RNA", at positions 30 to 428 of the family's 1533-position model. The record is from RNAcentral.